RNAcentral lists this ribosomal RNA (560 nucleotides) under uncultured Clostridium sp. Its description in RNAcentral is "bacterial SSU rRNA". It matches the Rfam family "Bacterial small subunit ribosomal RNA", at positions 573 to 1130 of the family's 1533-position model. The record is from RNAcentral. Lineage: Bacteria; Bacillati; Bacillota; Clostridia; Eubacteriales; Clostridiaceae.
AGGCGGCUUAGCAAGUCAGGCGUGAAAGGCGGAGGCUUAACCUCCGAGCUGCGUUUGAAACUGUUGAGCUUGAGUGAAGCAGAGGCAGGCGGAAUUCCCGGUGUAGCGGUGAAAUGCGUAGAGAUCGGGAGGAACACCAGUGGCGAAGGCGGCCUGCUGGGCUUUAACUGACGCUGAGGCACGAAAGCAUGGGUAGCAAACAGGAUUAGAUACCCUGGUAGUCUAUGCCGUAAACGAUGAUUACUAGGUGUGGGUGGUCUGACCCCAUCCGUGCCGGAGUUAACACAAUAGGUAAUCCACCUGGGGAGUACGGCCGCAAGGUUGAAACUCAAAGGAAUUGACGGGGGCCCGCACAAGCAGUGGAGUAUGUGGUUUAAUUCGAAGUAACGCGAAGAACCUUACCAGGUCUUGACAUCCAACUAACGAGGCAGAGAUGCGUUAGGUGCCCUUCGGGGAAAGUUGAGACAGGUGGUGCAUGGUUGUCGUCAGCUCGUGUCGUGAGAUGUUGGGUUAAGUCCCGCAACGAGCGCAACCCUUGUGAUUAGUUGCUACGCAAGAGC